CCUACGGGUGGCUGCAGUGGGGAAUAUUGCGCAAUGGGCGAAAGCCUGACGCAGCGACGCCGCGUGAGGGAUGAAGGUCUUCGGAUCGUAAACCUCUGUCAGCAGGGAAGAACGGUCACUGUGCUAAUCAGCAGUGAAUUGACGGUACCUGCAAAGGAAGCACCGGCUAACUCCGUGCCAGCAGCCGCGGUAAUACGGAGGGUGCGAGCGUUAAUCGGAAUUACUGGGCGUAAAGCGCUCGUAGGCGGUAUGUCAAGUCAAGGGUGAAAUCCCCGCGCUCAACGUGGGAACUGCCUUUGAAACUGGCAAACUGGAGUGUGUGAGAGGAGAGUGGAAUUCCAGGUGUAGGAGUGAAAUGCGUAGAUAUAUGGAGGAACAUCAGUGGCGAAGGCGACUAUCUGGCACAUAACUGACGCUGAGGGGCGAAAGCGUGGGUAGCAAACAGGAUUAGAUACCCGAGUAGUC
This 465-nucleotide ribosomal RNA is filed under the name uncultured bacterium. Its description in RNAcentral is "partial 16S ribosomal RNA". It matches the Rfam family "Bacterial small subunit ribosomal RNA", at positions 338 to 795 of the family's 1533-position model. The record is from RNAcentral.